UGCGGUUUUAGCUCAGUUGGGAGAGCGUCAGACUGAAGGUCUGGAGGUCCUGUGUUCGAUCCACAGAAAUCGCAU
Molecule: transfer RNA, 75 nt
Filed under: Candidozyma auris
Lineage: Eukaryota; Fungi; Ascomycota; Pichiomycetes; Serinales; Metschnikowiaceae
Description: [Candida] auris tRNA-Phe
Rfam family: tRNA
About the family: Transfer RNA (tRNA) molecules are approximately 80 nucleotides in length. Their secondary structure includes four short double-helical elements and three loops (D, anti-codon, and T loops).
Source: RNAcentral